This 639-nucleotide long non-coding RNA is filed under the name Mus spicilegus (steppe mouse). RNAcentral describes it as "lncRNA (ENSMSIG00000026149.1)". Lineage: Eukaryota; Metazoa; Chordata; Mammalia; Rodentia; Muridae. The record is from RNAcentral.
UGAAAGACUCCCAUGUUAAAAUAACAUGAUUUUUAGAGAGACAGUUUUUGCAGGUCCCAUUGUGACAUUUGAAUGGACGAGACAGCCUUGUCAGGAUGCCUAGAAUGCUCACACAGUAAGGAAAAUGUUACUGGAAAAAGCAGAAAUACUGCCGGAGAGAUAAGCCAUUGGAAUAUUUGCCAGAUGGACAAACUUGGAAUCAAGGAAUUCAAGUAUGACUUUUAUAGGAGAGAAGAUGUUUGGCAGCUGUAGUGCUUAAAAUGAUGGGCAUUGAACAGAGACAGCACCUAGUGGUUUAUGAGUCAGGAGAGAAGACACCGUUCUCAUCCCUGACUCCUGCCUGUGGAUAUUGUCCAUUGAUACACAGCAAGGCCCUGGACAAGUCUAUGUCUUCUCAUCAGAUACAUUUUUCCUUCAAAAUGGCUCAACCAGAAAAUGUUCCAUGGGUCACAUGGACAAGAUUCUUAGAAGAAUUAGGAAAAAGUGAGGUUGCUGAGGGAAGACAAUUAGGAAACCGUGCUGGGGAAGCUGUUCUUUAUUCUUCACAAAAAAUCUGAAACUUGCUGGCUUGGAAUCUUUCUGAAUUCCAAGGUCUGUUGUUGCUCUAGUAUUCUGAAUGUCUCUGCCAUCAGCUUAGUC